AUAGAAUUGAGUAUUUAUAGAUUACAAGGUAUUGAAUGGAUAAGCAUACCAAACAUAACUAGAUAACAACAAAACUAACAUAUACAAAUCUAAGUACAAGAUUACACUAAUCUAUAUAAAUUUAAAUACAAGUUAAAAUAGAGUAUAGAGAGAUAAGAUUUCUUCUGUUAUGCCCCCUCAAGUUGGACUCGAGAAGAGAGUCCAAUAUUGUCUUUGAGAAAGAGAAAUCGAGCACGGGGAGGUGGCUUAGUAAGAGUAUCAGCAAGUUGAUCCGCAGAGGAAACAUGUGCAACCCGAAGAGAAUUGGCUUGAACUUGAUCACGAAUGAAAUGAAAAUCAAUGGCCACAUGUUUCAUUCGUGAAUGAAAAAUUGGAUUAGAGCAAAGUUUAGUGGCCCCAACAUUAUCAUAAUAAACAACAGGAUUUGUAGAGAUUGAGACACCAAGAUCAGCUAACAAAAAGCAUAUCCAAUUAAGUUCCGCUGUUGUUGUAGCUACUGAGCGAUACUAAGCUUCUGUUGAGGAUCAUGCUACAGUUCUCUGUUUCUUCAAACUCCAAGAGAUUGCAUUCUUGCCAAGAUAAACAAUAUAAGCACUGGUGGAUGAAAAAUCAUCUUGAUUACCAGCCUAAUUAGCAUCCGAGAAGGCAUGUAAUGAUAGGGGAGAAUCUUUGAAUAGUUGGAGACCAUCAUUAAUAGUGCCAAAGAGAUAACGUCGUAGUCUGUUA
Molecule: long non-coding RNA, 726 nt
Filed under: Olea europaea subsp. europaea
Lineage: Eukaryota; Viridiplantae; Streptophyta; Magnoliopsida; Lamiales; Oleaceae
Source: RNAcentral